Molecule: ribosomal RNA, 1024 nt
Filed under: Bacillus sp. (in: firmicutes)
Lineage: Bacteria; Bacillati; Bacillota; Bacilli; Caryophanales; Bacillaceae
Description: bacterial SSU rRNA
Rfam family: Bacterial small subunit ribosomal RNA
Source: RNAcentral
CCAUCGAGCUUUAUCGUAUUACGAGUGGCCAGCCAGCCCGCGGGUAAUUAUCGUUAGGUUUGGGCAAGCGUUUGUCUCGGAAAUUAUUGGGCGUAAAAGGGCUUCGCAGGCGGUUUUUUUAUAGUCUGAUGUUGAAAAGCCCCCCGGGCUCAACCGGGGGAGGGGGUCAUUGGGAACUGGGGAACUUGAGUGCAGAAGAGGAAGAGUGGGAAUUUCCACGUGUUAGCGGUGAAAUGCGUAGAGAUGUGGAGGGAACACCAGUGGUGAAGGGCGACUCUCUGGGUCUUGUAACUGACGCUGAGGAGCGAAAGCGUGGGGAGCGAACAGGAUUAGAUACCCUGGUAGUUCACGCCGUAAACGAUGAGUGCUAAGUGUUAGGGGGUUUCCGCCCCUUAGUGCUGCAGCUAACGCAUUAAGCACUCCGCCUGGGGAGUACGGUCGCAAGACUGAAACUCAAAGGAAUUGACGGGGGCCCGCACAAGCGGUGGAGCAUGUGGUUUAAUUCGAAGCAACGCGAAGAACCUUACCAGGUCUUGACAUCCUCUGACAAUCCUAGAGAUAGGACGUCCCCUUCGGGGGCAGAGUGACAGGUGGUGCAUGGUUGUCGUCAGCUCGUGUCGUGAGAUGUUGGGUUAAGUCCCGCAACGAGCGCAACCCUUGAUCUUAGUUGCCAGCAUUCAGUUGGGCACUCUAAGGUGACUGCCGGUGACAAACCGGAGGAAGGUGGGGAUGACGUCAAAUCAUCAUGCCCCUUAUGACCUGGGCUACACACGUGCUACAAUGGACAGAACAAAGGGCAGCGAAACCGCGAGGUUAAGCCAAUCCCACAAAUCUGUUCUCAGUUCGGAUCGCAGUCUGCAACUCGACUGCGUGAAGCUGGAAUCGCUAGUAAUCGCGGAUCAGCAUGCCGCGGUGAAUACGUUCCCGGGCCUUGUACACACCGCCCGUCACACCACGAGAGUUUGUAACACCCGAAGUCGGUGAGGUAACCUUUUAGGAGCCCAGCCGCCCAAAGUUGAAUUAG